RNAcentral lists this transfer RNA (75 nucleotides) under Clostridia bacterium. Its description in RNAcentral is "tRNA-Gln". It matches the Rfam family "tRNA". Rfam says of the family: Transfer RNA (tRNA) molecules are approximately 80 nucleotides in length. Their secondary structure includes four short double-helical elements and three loops (D, anti-codon, and T loops). Lineage: Bacteria; Bacillati; Bacillota; Clostridia. The record is from RNAcentral.
AGGGGUGUCGCCAAGCGGUAAGGCACAAGACUUUGACUCUUGCAUUCGUAGGUUCAAAUCCUGCCACCCCUGCCA